GUCCACUUUUAGCCACCAUCUUGAAAUUAUGCAUAUGGUAAAAUGUAAACUAAAAGUUCUAAUAAAGAGAUGAUAUUAUGCGACAUCAUGCUUAUAACACGCAGAGGUAAAUAAGACAUACUGUGAGUGAAAUGACACAGUAGUCAACCAUGAGAGAGAGAGAGAGAGAGAGAGAGAGAGAGAGAUUGAUCAUUUACCAGUGAAUAGUCACGCCAUACUUUCCGUUAUUUUGAACAGUGACAAAUG
Long non-coding RNA from Quercus robur (English oak), 246 nucleotides. RefSeq lists it as uncharacterized. The record is from RefSeq and is a predicted model, not a curated record. The transcript has 2 exons. NCBI's taxonomy places the organism in Eukaryota, Viridiplantae, Streptophyta, Magnoliopsida, Fagales, Fagaceae.